GGCCGGUUAGCUCAGUCAGUUGAGCAUAGUGCUAACAACGCUAACACUAUGGGUUCGAUUCCUGUUCAGUCCC
Molecule: transfer RNA, 73 nt
Filed under: Apaloderma vittatum (bar-tailed trogon)
Lineage: Eukaryota; Metazoa; Chordata; Aves; Trogoniformes; Trogonidae
Rfam family: tRNA
About the family: Transfer RNA (tRNA) molecules are approximately 80 nucleotides in length. Their secondary structure includes four short double-helical elements and three loops (D, anti-codon, and T loops).
Source: Rfam by way of RNAcentral